RNAcentral lists this ribosomal RNA (471 nucleotides) under Fannyhessea vaginae. RNAcentral's name for it is "bacterial SSU rRNA". It matches the Rfam family "Bacterial small subunit ribosomal RNA", at positions 473 to 945 of the family's 1533-position model. The record is from RNAcentral. Lineage: Bacteria; Bacillati; Actinomycetota; Coriobacteriia; Coriobacteriales; Atopobiaceae.
CGGUACCUGCAGAAGAAGCCCCGGCUAACUACGUGCCAGCAGCCGCGGUAAUACGUAGGGGGCAAGCGUUAUCCGGAUUCAUUGGGCGUAAAGCGCGCGUAGGCGGUCUGUUAGGUCAGGAGUUAAAUCUGGGGGCUCAACCCCUAUCCGCUCCUGAUACCGGCAGGCUUGAGUCUGGUAGGGGAAGAUGGAAUUCCAAGUGUAGCGGUGAAAUGCGCAGAUAUUUGGAAGAACACCGGUGGCGAAGGCGGUCUUCUGGGCCAUGACUGACGCUGAGGCGCGAAAGCUAGGGGAGCGAACAGGAUUAGAUACCCUGGUAGUCCUAGCUGUAAACGAUGGACACUAGGUGUGGGGAGAUUAUACUUUCCGUGCCGCAGCUAACGCAUUAAGUGUCCCGCCUGGGGAGUACGGUCGCAAGACUAAAACUCAAAGGAAUUGACGGGGGCCCGCACAAGCAGCGGAGCAUGUGGC